GGUUAAGCGACUAAGCGUACACGGUGGAUGCCCUGGCAGUCAGAGGCGAUGAAGGACGUGCUAAUCUGCGAUAAGCGCCGGUAAGGUGAUAUGAACCGUUAUAACCGGCGAUUUCCGAAUGGGGAAACCCAGUGUGAUUCGUCACACUAUCAUUAACUGAAUCCAUAGGUUAAUGAGGCGAACCGGGGGAACUGAAACAUCUAAGUACCCCGAGGAAAAGAAAUCAACCGAGAUUCCCCCAGUAGCGGCGAGCGAACGGGGAGGAGCCCAGAGCCUGAAUCAGCAUGUGUGUUAGUGGAAGCGUCUGGAAAGGCGCGCGAUACAGGGUGACAGCCCCGUACACAAAAGCGCAUGUGCUGUGAGCUCGAUGAGUAGGGCGGGACACGUGGUAUCCUGUCUGAAUAUGGGGGGACCAUCCUCCAAGGCUAAAUACUCCUGACUGACCGAUAGUGAACCAGUACCGUGAGGGAAAGGCGAAAAGAACCCCGGCGAGGGGAGUGAAAAAGAACCUGAAACCGUGUACGUACAAGCAGUGGGAGCACAGGUUUACCUGUGUGACUGCGUACCUUUUGUAUAAUGGGUCAGCGACUUAUAUUCUGUAGCAAGGUUAACCGUAUAGGGGAGCCGGAGGGAAACCGAGUCUUAAUUGGGCGUUAAGUUGCAGGGUAUAGACCCGAAACCCGGUGAUCUAGCCAUGGGCAGGUUGAAGGUUGGGUAACACUAACUGGAGGACCGAACCGACUAAUGUUGAAAAAUUAGCGGAUGACCUGUGGCUGGGGGUGAAAGGCCAAUCAAACCGGGAGAUAGCUGGUUCUCCCCGAAAGCUAUUUAGGUAGCGCCUCGUGAAUUCAUCUCCGGGGGUAGAGCACUGUUUCGGCUAGGGGGCCAUCCCGGCUUACCAACCCGAUGCAAACUGCGAAUACCGGAGAAUGUUAUCACGGGAGACACACGGCGGGUGCUAACGUCCGUCGUGAAGAGGGAAACAACCCAGACCGCCAGCUAAGGUCCCAAAGUCAUGGUUAAGUGGGAAACGAUGUGGGAAGGCCCAGACAGCCAGGAUGUUGGCUUAGAAGCAGCCAUCAUUUAAAGAAAGCGUAAUAGCUCACUGGUCGAGUCGGCCUGCGCGGAAGAUGUAACGGGGCUAAACCAUGCACCGAAGCUGCGGCAGCGACGCUUAUGCGUUGUUGGGUAGGGGAGCGUUCUGUAAGCCUGUGAAGGUGUGUCGUGAGGCAUGCUGGAGGUAUCAGAAGUGCGAAUGCUGACAUAAGUAACGAUAAAGCGGGUGAAAAGCCCGCUCGCCGGAAGACCAAGGGUUCCUGUCCAACGUUAAUCGGGGCAGGGUGAGUCGACCCCUAAGGCGAGGCCGAAAGGCGUAGUCGAUGGGAAACGGGUUAAUAUUCCCGUACUUGGUGUUACUGCGAAGGGGGGACGGAGAAGGCUAUGUUGGCCGGGCGACGGUUGUCCCGGUUUAAGCGUGUAGGUGUGUGUUCCAGGUAAAUCCGGUUCACUUUAACACUGAGGCGUGAUGACGAGGCACUACGGUGCUGAAGCAACAAAUGCCCUGCUUCCAGGAAAAGCCUCUAAGCAUCAGGUAACAUCAAAUCGUACCCCAAACCGACACAGGUGGUCAGGUAGAGAAUACCAAGGCGCUUGAGAGAACUCGGGUGAAGGAACUAGGCAAAAUGGUGCCGUAACUUCGGGAGAAGGCACGCUGACACGUAGGUGAAGUGAUUUACUCAUGGAGCUGAAGUCAGUCGAAGAUACCAGCUGGCUGCAACUGUUUAUUAAAAACACAGCACUGUGCAAACACGAAAGUGGACGUAUACGGUGUGACGCCUGCCCGGUGCCGGAAGGUUAAUUGAUGGGGUCAGCGCAAGCGAAGCUCCUGAUCGAAGCCCCGGUAAACGGCGGCCGUAACUAUAACGGUCCUAAGGUAGCGAAAUUCCUUGUCGGGUAAGUUCCGACCUGCACGAAUGGCGUAAUGAUGGCCAGGCUGUCUCCACCCGAGACUCAGUGAAAUUGAACUCGCUGUGAAGAUGCAGUGUACCCGCGGCAAGACGGAAAGACCCCGUGAACCUUUACUAUAGCUUGACACUGAACAUUGAGCCUUGAUGUGUAGGAUAGGUGGGAGGCUUUGAAGUGUGGACGCCAGUCUGCAUGGAGCCGACCUUGAAAUACCACCCUUUAAUGUUUGAUGUUCUAACGUGGACCCGUAAUCCGGGUUGCGGACAGUGUCUGGUGGGUAGUUUGACUGGGGCGGUCUCCUCCUAAAGAGUAACGGAGGAGCACGAAGGUUGGCUAAUCCUGGUCGGACAUCAGGAGGUUAGUGCAAUGGCAUAAGCCAGCUUGACUGCGAGCGUGACGGCGCGAGCAGGUGCGAAAGCAGGUCAUAGUGAUCCGGUGGUUCUGAAUGGAAGGGCCAUCGCUCAACGGAUAAAAGGUACUCCGGGGAUAACAGGCUGAUACCGCCCAAGAGUUCAUAUCGACGGCGGUGUUUGGCACCUCGAUGUCGGCUCAUCACAUCCUGGGGCUGAAGUAGGUCCCAAGGGUAUGGCUGUUCGCCAUUUAAAGUGGUACGCGAGCUGGGUUUAGAACGUCGUGAGACAGUUCGGUCCCUAUCUGCCGUGGGCGCUGGAGAACUGAGGGGGGCUGCUCCUAGUACGAGAGGACCGGAGUGGACGCAUCACUGGUGUUCGGGUUGUCAUGCCAAUGGCACUGCCCGGUAGCUAAAUGCGGAAGAGAUAAGUGCUGAAAGCAUCUAAGCACGAAACUUGCCCCGAGAUGAGUUCUCCCUGAGACUUAGAGUCUCCUGAAGGAACGUUGAAGACGACGACGUUGAUAGGCCGGGUGUGUAAGCGCAGCGAUGCGUUGAGCUAACCGGUACUAAUGAACCGUGAGGCUUAACCUUAC
This 2910-nucleotide ribosomal RNA is filed under the name Salmonella enterica subsp. enterica serovar Paratyphi B str. SPB7. Its description in RNAcentral is "bacterial LSU rRNA". It matches the Rfam family "Bacterial large subunit ribosomal RNA". Lineage: Bacteria; Pseudomonadati; Pseudomonadota; Gammaproteobacteria; Enterobacterales; Enterobacteriaceae. The record is from RNAcentral.